AAAAUAAAAUUUAGAGAUCUUUUGAUAUAUUUAAGAAAGCUUAAAUAAAGAUUCGAAGUUUUGAAAGGGAAACAUCCUGCAUUAAGAAAUAUUAAUUGUUGGCAAAGUUAGUAGUGGAGAGCGGGGGCUUUGUAUUUAAGUUUAGAAAGAUAGUGAAAUUUUGUUAUUGGGGGCCACCGAUAGAGAAGAGUACUGUGAAGGAAAGUUAAAAAUUUUGUCUUUAAAGCAGAUAUUGUUAUCGUACCUUUUGUAUAAGGGGUUUGUAAGAAGUUUUUAGCGAGGCGAGGGUCGUAAUGAGAGUGAGUCUUCUGUAGUUAAAAAUCCCGAAACUAAGUGAUCUAAUUAUGGGCAGCCUGAAGUUAUAUGGGAGUAUAAUGGAGGGGCGAACUGGUAACUGUGGCAAAAGUUUCAGAUGAUCUAUAGUUGGUGGUGAAAGACUAAUCGAACUUAGAAAUAGCUGGUUUUCUACGAAAUUUAUUUUAGUAAAGUGAAAAUUUAAAUAAGUCUUAUUUGUGGGGAGUGUAUUUUAUAUUUUCAAUGAGAGUGGGGGCGUAAAGUUGUCGCUCGAGAGGGGAAAAGCCCGGAUAUUAGCUAAAGGCGUUAAAAAAUUUUAAGUGCAAAAGGGGGAUUAAUUUAGAUAAAAAGAAAGUGGGCUUGGAAGUAGCCAUCUUAUAAAGAGUGUGUAAUUACAUAAUUUUCAAGUUAUGGCCCUUGAAAAUGUGGGCGACUUAAAAAAGUAUUAAAGCUAUGGGGAUUAAAAGAUUUAGGUAGUAGAAUAUACUGUAUUGGAUAAUGAAAAUAGAUCAGUAGAAAUAAUGCAAACAUGAGUAAAAAAUACCUGGGGGUAGUAUAAUUUAUAAUUUAAGACUAUCGGGGAUAGUUGAAGAGGAAUGGGGGUUCCGACUGACAAUAGAGGGUAUUUAAAUGAAUGAUUUUAUAUUAAGGAAUUCGGCAAAAUGUUUUUGUAAGAUUACGAGAAGAAAAGAGUUUAAUUAAACAAAAUGGCUUUAAUUAGACAAAAAUUAGGAGGUGUCGACUGUUUCGCAAAAACAUAGCUUCUAGUAAAGAAUAGAGGUGAGACCUGUCCAGUGACUAUUUCUAAAUAUCGUUUCGAUUAUAAGGGUAGUUAAACGGCCGCGGUAAUUAUGACCGUGUUAAAGUAGCGCAAUCAAUCGCCAAUUAAUUGUUGGCAAGUAUGAAGGUUUCACGAAUGCCUCACUGUCUCAAUAUAAAGUUUAUUGAAAUUGGAAUUUUAGUGAAGAUACUAAAUAGUAAUUGAAAGACGAGAAGACCCCGUGAGCUUUACUGGAGUGUUAAUUAUUAUUAAUACAGACAGUUUAGUUGGGGCGACUCCCCUAUAAAGAGUAACUAGGGGGCUUGUGGGUUAAGAAAUAGUUAAACCUAAGACAAUAAGGGGGUCCUCCCAAAUUGGCAUGUAGUUUUUUGGUUUAUCAAAAUCUUUUAUAACUUGGUGGGAUAUAUUGAUCCGUAAUUUGUGGAUUACGAGAGCGGCAAAAAGUUACCGCGGGGAUAACAGGGUAAUUUUGUUUGAGAGUUCGUAUCGAAGACGAAGUUUGCUACCUCGAUGUUGAAUUGUGAUAUCCUGAAGGCGCAGGAGUUUUCAAGGGUUGGACUGUUCGUCCAUUAAAAUCGCACAUGAUUUGAGUUCAGACCGGCGUGAGCCAGGUCGGUUUCUAUCUUCAAUUAUAUUAUGUCUUUUAUUUUUUUAGUACGAAAGGAGGAAAAAGAGCUUGUUCUAUGAUUUGUAAUUAAGACAAAGAGUUAAUUAUUAAAUACAUAUAUAAGAAACUUAAAGAGAAUGUUAUUUGAGAUAAAAGUAAUUAAAAUACUAAUAAUGNNNNNNNNNNNNNNNNNNN
RNAcentral lists this ribosomal RNA (1877 nucleotides) under Ircinia sp. LCJ01. RNAcentral describes it as "16S ribosomal RNA". The stretch from base 145 to 1722 matches the Rfam family "Bacterial large subunit ribosomal RNA". Lineage: Eukaryota; Metazoa; Porifera; Demospongiae; Dictyoceratida; Irciniidae. The record is from RNAcentral.